CAGUAGCCGCGGGAAUACGGAGGGAGCUAGCGUUGUUCGGAAUUACUGGGCGUAAAGCGCACGUAGGCGGCUUUGUAAGUCAGAGGUGAAAGCCUGGAGCUCAACUCCAGAACUGCCUUUGAGACUGCAUCGCUUGAAUCCAGGAGAGGUGAGUGGAAUUCCGAGUGUAGAGGUGAAAUUAGUAGAUAUUCGGAAGAACACCAGUGGCGAAGGCGGCUCACUGGACUGGUAUUGACGCUGAGGUGCGAAAGCGUGGGGAGCAAACAGGAUUAGAUACCCCCGUAGUCCCUGUCUCUUAUAC
This 301-nucleotide ribosomal RNA is filed under the name uncultured bacterium. RNAcentral's name for it is "partial 16S ribosomal RNA". It matches the Rfam family "Bacterial small subunit ribosomal RNA", at positions 509 to 807 of the family's 1533-position model. The record is from RNAcentral.